RNAcentral lists this non-coding RNA (228 nucleotides) under [Ruminococcus] lactaris. Its description in RNAcentral is "Ruminococcus lactaris T-box sequence". It matches the Rfam family "T-box leader". Rfam says of the family: Uncharged tRNA acts as the effector for transcription antitermination of genes in the T-box leader family. T-boxes are found upstream of many aminoacyl-tRNA synthetase genes and some amino acid biosynthetic genes usually in Gram-positive bacteria. The record is from RNAcentral. Lineage: Bacteria; Bacillati; Bacillota; Clostridia; Lachnospirales; Lachnospiraceae.
AUAAAAGCUAAGACCGUGCAAAGUAGAGAACCGGUUUCUGUCAGAGAGGGAAGAUCACCGGCUGCGAGUUUUCCCAAGUUCAAUCGGCAAUCGAAUUUCCCACGUGAGCUGCAUUUUUGAAAGACCAGUAGAAAAUGCCGUAUGUUGUACGUUACACAAGCACGAGUGCCUGUGACAGAUGUUGCAGGAAGCAGGGUGGUACCGCGAGUAAUAUACCUCGUCCCUUUG